This 4591-nucleotide long non-coding RNA is filed under the name Malus domestica (apple). Its description in RNAcentral is "long non-coding RNA (MDOM_LNC001718)". Lineage: Eukaryota; Viridiplantae; Streptophyta; Magnoliopsida; Rosales; Rosaceae. The record is from RNAcentral.
UUGUGAAAAGGUGAUAUGAAACCCUAGUAUUUAUAGGCUAAAUGGGGUUGUAGUUGAUUGCAAGGUGAUCCCAACAAUUAAGCCAAAGUUUUGAACGUUUUUCCUUAUUUGGCUCCUCCAAAUCAAGCUAGAUAUUCCAAUUCCUUUCCCAUUCUGCUCCUGGUGUUCUAACAAGACAGAUUUGCUUUGGAUUCUUUAUUUGGGCUUCAAAACAAGUAACAAUUUAUUUCCACGUUUGAAUAACGGUCAACCAAAAAAAUGGCAUCUUUUCACUUAUUUUGCCUUCAAAUUGAUCCUAAAGUACAUGUAACUAUACACUAAUACAAAAUAAGGUAAAAUGCAACCAAUUUAACUUAAAAACAUCACAAAGAGACUAGAAAUGGAUGGUAUAAAUGCAUGAAAUAUAUGAGUUAUCAAAUACCCCAAAACCUAGUUUUUGCUAGUCCUCGAGCAAAACUAUAACUAAAAACACACAAAAACAAUAAAAUCUAACUAUACCACUUUCGUUGGCUAAACGAUUGCAUUGAGCAUGUGCAACAAGCCUUUAAACCUCUAGGUGUCCCUAGUCAGAGGAGUUGUGUCUCCUGAGGGUUUACAGUGAUGAUGCCCACAAACAUCUACAGACUCUGCAAACAAAUUGGUUAAAGCAUACUUCAAUCAAAACUAAUAAGAACCAAUGAAAGCUUAGUCAUACAUCCAAACCAAAAGUCUGCCACUUCAAUGAAUUGUAUCAUGUGUAAAGUGUAAAAAUAUUACUCUAUGAUUCAUGACUUCAAAGACACCAUACUCAAAUGCUAAAGAUAGAAUUCGCCUCAACUUUAUUCCUCACAGAUAUCACUUAAAUUUUCACUCAGAUCCUAAGGUGUAAUCUCUCCAUAAACAUAUGUGAGUGAAAUUAUGUAAAAGGGAUUCAAAAAUUCUCACAUAUGAAAUAUGAAAUAAAAGCACAAUUUCUUAAUAGAUCUCAUGAAAUGAAUCAAAUACUAAAAAUAUGGAUAGCACACGUACUUACCAGCACCUAUGAAUACAUCCCCAAAGAUCAGCUAGGUCUUUCACAAGGUUAUAAUGUAAAGCUUAGGCUAUGGGCUAUGAAAGAAAGGAUAAGAAAUACUAGAUCUUGGGACAUACCAAAGUGUCUUUGUUGUGAAACCAGCAAAGCUUAAUCUAUCUUUGUCUUCACCACUUUGGUAUUCCCCAAACUAUAAGGUAUGGUUGUAAUGGGCUAAAAUUGAUAGAGUUUGGUAUGGGUGAUGAAGGAACUAGGCUAAAAGUGUUUGGCUGCAACAUGGGUAAAUAGAGCACACAAAGGGAUGGGAAUUAGGCCUUUUAGUGGUUAAAACAUGCAUAACCUAACAUCAUCUCAAUGAGUUCAUUCAUAGGUGAUAAUAAACACAUGGUAUCUGCAACAUAGGAUUAUUCUUAGCAUUCAAUCAAAGAGAAAUAAUGAGAUCAUUUAAAGUGAAAUUGAAAGAAAAAGAUAAGAGCAGAAACACUUUAAACCCUCUCAAAGAAGCAAAUAGGCUCAAAAUAACUCACUAAGGUAGUCUCCACUAUUCUUCUUCCAGAAUUUGCGCAUGGUACUUUAACAAUCAUAAUUCCAAGAGUAACAGCUUUGUAAAAGAAAAUAAGAUACGAAACUUUUUCAUGACAACACUAUAGUUUUGUUUGUAAACAUAGCCCUCAUAUACAUUCACAUUAGUAAGCAAAAGCAAACUUAACCAAAACUAAAAACAAACGAAAAUUUUCAAUCCCACACCCCCAAACCUAAACUAAGCAUUGUCCUCGAUGCUUAAAAAUGAAUGGAAUGCAUGCAAUGUAAAUAGGCAGAGCGUGUGGAACUAAAAGACACAAAUAAAAGGAAAGAACACAAACCCAGCUAGGUUGCCUCCUAGCAAGCGCUUUCUUUAACGUCUAGGCAAGACGUGGUGGGUAUGAUGGAUGAACGCCUAGGGUGGCAGGAAGUCAAGGUACCUCCGAACCUUGGUCAAAAGAAGUGGUUUCUUUUGAUGGACUUUGAAUAUGCUGCGUUGAAUUUUGACAAAGACUUGAUUGUGAUGGUGUUUUCGUCUCUCCUUGCGAAGAAGCAGAUCCUCAAAAAAAUUUGAAGAUGUGGGCGGAGCAAUAAUUUCAAUGGAUGAGUUUGUGGCUACUAAGGAUGAAUGAAAUUCGUGCAAGGCAGCAAUCUCAUCGUCUAGCUCUGAAUCUUCUUUUCUUAUGGUGAAUGUGCAACAAUGAUUUGUCAUCCAACUUCAAUUUAUUUUCCUCUUGAUAUGGCAGCAAAUCAUCUCCAAAAGACUCCAAAUAUGGCACCUGAAAAGAUGUAAAACAACAUGGAGAAUCCGGCACUGAUUUUGAAAAACAUUCAAUUAAAUUAAGGGAUAGAGGAAGAGCUUCAAACACUAUGUGCGACCCAGUUUCACUAAGCACAUCUAUGGGUGACUCAUCAUGCUUUUAUUUGACAAAUCUCCCUGGAAAAUGAAUUGGUGGAACAUAUGGCUUGGGAGGAAUGAAAGGCUCUUCAUCUUUAUGAAGCUCAAGAACCUCAUGAAAAUAUGCACAGCAAGCUUCCUUUGGUAGUUCCUCAUCCUCUUCUUGAUCAUCACCACCAGAUUGAUGUUCAUUUAACGCUUGGACAAUUUGCCCCAACUGAAUUUCCAACUUGGUAAGUGCAAUUGAGUGUUCUUGAAUCAUGCUACUCGUUGAUUAUUGAAAUUGUAAAGUGCUUUGAGCAAGUAGCUCGAAAGUGUCCUCCAAUAAAGUGUCAAAGGAUUCCCGCUGUGAUGGAGGUGCAAAUGCUUGAUUUGAAGCUUCUAUGUUGUUCCAAGAGCCAUGAUCAGAGUUCCUCCAAGAAGGGCUAUAUGUGUUUGACAAUGGUUGCAGUGGCUCUUGGUUAGAGAAACACAUGCAGUGUAAGUACUCUUGGACAAAUGUAGGAAACUCAUCUUUCCUUAGGCAGAACUGAAAAGGAUGACCAGUCUUAGAACAUAAUGGACAUACACCAUACAUCUUUUUAUACCACGUAAAAGCAAACAACCUAAAAUGUAAAUUGAAAAUCUAAACUAAGAAAAGAAAAAACAGAUAGGGUUUAUAAAGCAAGCAAUUAAAGGGGAUUGAAAUCAGUCCCCGACAAUGGCGCCAAAAUUUUGUUGUGUUCUUUUCAAGUACAAAUAUAAGGAUAGUAAAAUAGCACAAGUAAGGGUGUCUAACCACAGGGACUUAUUAGACCUCUACAAAUUACUAUUUUUAUGUGAACCCUAACUAAACAAUGAAACUAACAAAUUGAGUUUGGAUUUUGAUUUGAAAAGUAAAGUAACUUAAUAUGCAAGAGAAUGUAAAUAAGAAUAAUAGAAUGAUUCAGAAACGAUGGGAAUGGAACUAGGGAUACCGAUUUCACCAUUACAAGCCAAUUCCAUGAAAAUUAAGUCAAAACACAUUCAACUGUCCAAUGUGCAACUAAGGUUCGUUUUACUCAUUUAUGAUCAUCCAUUUGAUGUGUGGGUGUGAUCAAGUACUCCUAAUCUGCAACCUAGUUGUGAUGUUCAACUUAGAUUACCAACUAAGAAUCCAUUAAGAACAAGAAAACUUCAAAGAACCAAAGAAAUCACAUGGCAGGAUGUAUGCAUAGCAGUUUCUUCAUUCAUUCACAUGUCUACCAAGAUUAAGCAUGAUGUGUACUAUAACCUUGAUCAAAUAAUUCAUAAGCAGUCCUAAUGGUGAUCAAACAUUAAGAUUAACAAACAAAUUAAACUAUAAAAUCAAUGAAUGAAACAAUAACACAUAUUGGUAAUUUGAAUACUUUAACUUAAUAACAAAGAGUAGUUUUGCAAGGCUAUAUCGAAAUCCCCAGCUAUGAACUUAAUUACACAACAUGAUUACAAAAUAUAUAAACAUCAAGAACAACAUGAGUGAAAUUAAAGUUCAUAGAAGAAACCCCCUUAAAGCAAUUCUGAUGUUGAACUUCUCCAAUAACAGCACGGCUGCGUGGUUUCUUUGGUGGCUGCUGAUGUGAAGGAAAAUAGGGUUUUGUUUUUGGAAGAAAGGCUAAAGAAAGAGAAGAUAGAGCUAUGGGCGACCCUAAGAGGGCUUAUGAAAAAGUAAUCUGAAACCCUAGUAUUUAUAGGCUAAAUGGGGCUGUAGCUGAUUGCAAGGUGAUCCCAACCAUUAAGCCAAAGUUUAAACCUUUUUCCUUAUUUGGCUCCUCCAAAUCAAGCUAGAUAUUCCAAUUCCUUUCCCAUUUUGCUCCUAGUCUUCUAACAUGCCAGAUUCGCUUUGGAUUCUUUAUUUGGGCUGCAAAACAAGUAACAAUUUAUUUCCACGUUUAAAUAAGGGUCAACCCAACAAAUGGCAUAUUUUCACUUCUUUUGCCUUCAAAUUGAUCCUAAAGUACAUGUAACUGCACAAUAACACAAAAUAAGGUAAAAUGCAACCAGUUUAACUCAAAAACAUCACAAAGAGACUAGAAAUGGAUGGUAUAAAUGCAUGAAAUAUAUGAGUUAUCAGUCUCUAAAUUUAGUCUCUUUAGCAUUACUCUUUUACAAUCAUCAAUUGAAAAAAAAAGAAGUAAACUCCAACUCAAGGAAAUAGGGGUGGG